RNAcentral lists this unclassified non-coding RNA (229 nucleotides) under plant metagenome. RNAcentral's name for it is "partial contains small subunit ribosomal RNA, internal transcribed spacer 1, and 5.8S ribosomal RNA". The record is from RNAcentral.
UUUCCGUAGGUGAACCUGCGGAAGGAUCAUUAUUGAAAUAAACCUGAUGGGUUGUUGCUGGCUCUCUAGGGAGCAUGUGCACGCCUUGUCAUCUUUAUAUCUCCACCUGUGCACCUUUUGUAGACCUUUCAGGUCUAUGUUGCUUCAUUUAUACCCCAAUGUAUGUUAAUAGAAUGUUGUGCCUAUAUUAUAAUAUAUACAACUUUCAGCAACGGAUCUCUUGGCUCUC